CGCGUAGGCGGGAUAUUAAGUCAGGUGUGAAAACUCAGGGCUCAACCUUGGGACUGCACUUGAAACUGAUAUUCUUGAGGACAGGAGAGGAAAGUGGAAUUCCUAGUGUAGCGGUGAAAUGCGUAGAUAUUAGGAGGAACACCAGUGGCGAAGGCGACUUUCUGGACUGUAACUGACGCUGAGGCGCGAAAGCGUGGGGAGUGAACG
Molecule: ribosomal RNA, 207 nt
Filed under: uncultured Bacillota bacterium
Lineage: Bacteria; Bacillati; Bacillota
Description: uncultured Firmicutes bacterium partial 16S ribosomal RNA
Rfam family: Bacterial small subunit ribosomal RNA
Source: RNAcentral